AUACGGAGGGUGCAAGCGUUAAUCGGAAUUACUGGGCGUAAAGCGUACGUAGGCGGUUCGUGAAGUUAGAUGUGAAAGCCCCGGGCUUAACCUGGGAACUGCAUUUAAAACUGGCGAACUAGAGUUGAGUAGAGGGGAGUGGAAUUUCAGGUGUAGCGGUGAAAUGCGUAGAGAUCUGAAGGAACACCAGUGGCGAAGGCGGCUCCCUGGACUCAAACUGACGCUGAGGUACGAAAGCGUGGGUAGCAAACGGGAUUAGAAACCCCAGUAGUCC
Molecule: ribosomal RNA, 274 nt
Filed under: uncultured bacterium
Lineage: Bacteria
Description: partial 16S ribosomal RNA
Rfam family: Bacterial small subunit ribosomal RNA
Source: RNAcentral